Molecule: long non-coding RNA, 6991 nt
Organism: Gallus gallus (chicken)
Lineage: Eukaryota; Metazoa; Chordata; Aves; Galliformes; Phasianidae
Exons: 5
Source: RefSeq, a predicted model, not a curated record
GCCGCCGCCCUGUGAGGAUGGCGGGCGCGGCGGGUCCGUGCCCGGCUGAGGGAACGCCCGCCGCCCCUCUGUGGUCUUAAAACCUGAAAGCGCCCCUUCAGCGGCACCGGAUGCUUCAGACCCGCUGAGCGGCAGCGAGACGAAAUAAGCGUCUGUCCUUGUGUUCUGUACGUUGAGAAGACAGCUGUUGGCACCUCGGGGCGCGUUACCGUUAACUUUUGCACAGCUGGAAUACUAUCGGGUGGCUCUGGUUUGGCUUUUGUCUCUCCUUGCAACGCUUCUGUUACUUUUCGGGAGUUCUGCACGUACCGGGUUCCUCCUCCUGGUUCUCCGUCACGGGUAUCGCUCGUGCCGCCGACCCACGCAGCGCUGUGUUGGAGAUCCCCACAGGAUCGCGGUCAGGAGUCAGCAGAGCCAUCGACGUUCUCUCUGCAGGGGGUAUAUCUCCCCCCUGAACAUCAGAAGGAGUCGGGCAGGAGCUGGGUUCAGCGCGCUUCUUUCAUGUUCCUGGCAAGUUUGAUGUUCGCAAAAUAAAAGCAUGAAGUUAUAAGGAGGGCAAGUGUAAUGAGGACAGAGUGGUGAGAGGUGCGUUGGGAGCAUCUAGUGAGAUGCAGAAGCACGCAGUGGCACAUGGACUAACAUGGAUACAUGUUGGCACACAGCUGGCACAAAGGGGCACAAAAAGAAACUCAACACCAUUAAUGAUCUUACGCCAGUGGUAUCCAAGUCACCGUAUUUAUGAGAAUAUUUAUUUGGUUUUGUUUUAUAUUUAUCAUAUUAACCAUUCAAGGAAUCAUAGGUUGUCCAAGGGAGGAUGUCCUAUCCUCAGCCUUGGAGAUUUCCAAGUCUCAGCUGGCUCAAGCCCUCAGCAACCUGGUCUGACCCCAGAGCCGAGUUACAGGAGGGUGGGCAGGGAGCUCCUGAGAUCCCCUCUGGCCCACGUUAUCCCAUCAUUCUGUGAUUCUGCGCUCACAGUGCAGAUAAGAAAGCCUAGGAUGUGGAUAAUAUUGUCUUGCAAGCCUUUGUGAGCAUUUUCUUUCUUUGCAGCUUUCUCUGCAGAAGGUAGAAAAAAAAAAACCUGCUGCACGGUAGCUGAGAUAGCUUUCAUCAGCUUGUGGCUUCCAGUGUUCCUUGUGUAAUGGAAACUUUUAUUCCGCUCCUUGUGGCAGUAAAAGAAUUGCAAAGAAAAUUACUCCAGUCAACUGAGACAUGCUGUUUCCACGUCCUCCUUCCUUCCAGAUGAUAUCUGUCAGGAUAUGGAUUUAGAAGUCAGCAGUCUGGAAGUGAAAUCCCUGAUCUGGGUGUGGAAAUGACCAGUGCAAAGGCUAAAACCUCUUAAGGGCAAGGAACACAAAUAGGAGGGAAAAAAAUAAGGCAAUCUUUUCAGACAAAGGAACAGCCUUUUGUGGGGAAAGAACAAAGGAAAAAAACAGAAGAAAGUGAUAAAGAGGACAUUUGGAACACUCAACAGAGAGAUGAGGAAGCAGUGUGAGCAACUUGGCAGAGUGUAAAAAAAGCAAUUGUUUGAAUAGCCAUAGUAAUAUACCAGGGCAAUGGAGGCUUGAGACUAAAAUUUUACAGGGUUUUAUUCUGGGCAGUGCACCAAGCAACAGGUAAUUGUUGGCAGGACUACAAGUUUAGAUUUGCAUACCGCUUUGAAUGUACAGCAGUGCACAAAAUGGGAGUUGAAUAGAGGCCUUCUGGCAGCAGCUUGGACCUUUACAAUUGUACUGUGUAGACAGAGUACUUGAAAAACGUUUAAAAUGGGGUGGCCAUGGCAGAACAGGGGUGCUUUUAAUUUUAACCUCCUUCCUACUUCCCUGUUUCCUCAAUACUUGACAGAGUACUUCAACUGCUGAGUUCUGUCCAGUACUUAGUAGGCUGGGCAAAUGGGCAAGAAUAGGGUUUAUGGCUGCACUUUGUUAUUAUUAUUAUUUGGACAAAAGCUAGCCUUGAGGUAGUUCAAUUCAGUGUGACAUCAUCAGAAGUACAACAAAGCCACUGCUGUUUCUUUUGUUUAUUUAGACUUGCAGGUGCUAGUUAUUUGCCUAUCUGGCAACAUCAAGAGAAAACACAUGAAGUCUGAGACAAACCGCUUCUAGAAAAAAAUCUGUCUGGAUAUAAAUAGAACAAAAUUUCAUAGUGAGAACAAAUAAAUAUUGGAAUAGGUGGCCCAGGGAAGUGGUAGAAUUUUCUCACUGGAAAUAUUCAAGAUUUGGCUUGACAGGGACUUGGACAACUGAACAACACGGCCCAGUUUGCAGCAGAAUGUUGGACCAGAUGGUCUCCAGAAGUCCCUUCUAACCUAGACUUCUCUGUGAUCUAUGAUAAUACUCCUAAUCAUCAUGUUUCAAAGUAAGUUGAAUAACAGAAGAAUGUUUUUUUCUUUCAUGUCAGGAAAGAGAGGAUUUCAGUGCCUGUGGAAAUACUAACUUUAUUAUGAAACAGAAAAGGAAGGAAAAGCAAUAGCUGCAUUGCACUCACAAACAUUAUUGCAACGGACUGUGAUCAGAACCAGCCUGGUAAAUCUGCACUACCCAGGUAGCCAGAAGAACAGAGAUUUCUGUUAAUAUUUAUCCCAAAAAGUCAUGAUUUUUUUUUCUUUUUUCUGCAGAGGGCUGUUUUAGAACAAUGAAUGUGCCAGUGUGUUCAAUGCAGUACAGCAAAAAUACCAGAGUUACAAUGAUGGAUGUGUGUAUAUGAAAGCAAGCAAUUUUUUGAGUAUUAUUCUUUUCUAUAAAAGCAAGAUAAAUGCUGACAUUUAAAUUGCCUUGAAAAAGACAGUCUUACUAGUGAUUUGACAGAGCUUAUCAAUUCUAAGUAUCUUGCUGUCAUAUAGAAGUGCACAAAAGAACUGAACUAAAAGGAGAUAUUAGAUACUUUCUAAAUUGUACAGAUCAAGACUGUAUGUUGCACUGCUACUGCAGCAAACCAUAGUGCUUAGACAAAUCAGCAUUAAUCAUUGUGAGAGACAUAACAGACACUGCACUUGGCAUGUGUAUAUCAGUUGCUUGGCAGUAAUGCAGAAAUAUAUUUUAAAAAAUGUUUUAGUGUUUAACAUAGAAGAAGAUAAAACAAAACAAAGCUAAUGCAACAGACGGACAUAUGUUUUGUAAGAUGCAGCAACUGCUGUAAUGAUAGCUAGAGCAAACACAAGCCAGAUAAGCUAAACAACAGAUUACUUGUUGCCCACGUUAACGACUAGAAGAGCAGGAGAGUUAGUGUAAGAAAAUCAGUGUGAAGGAAAGUAAUACACUCUUUCAUUACAUUUUUUUUCCCCUAGGAGACAAUGAAGAACUUCAUGUCCAAGAAUUAUUACCUGAAUACGUCUUGGUUAUAAUAAAUGGCAAAGAUUCUUGGUUCUCACUUCAGCAAUUUAUAUACCAGUUAGCAUUACUGCAGCAGAUCUAACAAAUAAAUUGUGCCAUUCACAAACAGAUCACAUCACACUGAGUGCUGGAGCUUCUCUUGCAUGGGCAAAUUCUUGCAUGCCUGCAGAUGAGAUGGAGAGGAGCAUGAAGCUAACAGGAUUACAAGGAUCAGCAGAUACAGCAUUGCCUCUCCAGCCUUCCAAAGGCAUUCUCCAGCUUCAGAGAGUCACAAGGCUGGUAUCAAAGGAACAGGAUUAAAACAAUGAUCUCGUUAAGUUCCCAAAUGGCAGGGUAACAUUAUGGCCAGCAACUCUGGCAGUAGGAACUGAGAGAGAAGGAAGAGAAGAAUAGGGAAACUGUUCAUCACAGGUCUGGGGAUAAAUUAUUUCAAAGUUAAGGUAAGGUGCAGUCUCUUUUUUCUGGUGAGGUUAUUGGUUUCACAGGACUUUUCUGUGUAAGUCUUUAUGGUGUCCAGACUGUUCAUCCUUCUCUAUCACCAGAACAUCUAGAGCAGUACUCCAGAGAAUCAGCUUAUUUAUAAUAGGUCAAAUUUAGAAUAUGUUUUUAAAAAGCAAUCAUGAUACGCACGUUAGUAAUACACCGUGCAAACAAAGAACUUGGGUAUCUGAUUAUAAAAAGUAUAACAGAAUAUGUUCGCAAUUCUUUGUACUCCAAAUGAACUGGGAACCAAAGACACAGUGAAGGGUCUUUACAGAUGGGAUAGAAAUAAAUAUACCUUCUCUGAGAUGUAUACAGUUAGCCAGGUGCCUCUCUCCUAAUUUUGGAGUAGAGAUUCUAUUUAAGCAGCAUUCUCAAGUUUUGCUUCACUUAAUGUCUUUAAGACCUAAGUGCUUCUGUGUUCCUACUCAAGAAUUUCAAGUAUGAAAACCUAGACAACUUAUAGCCAUCACUUACAGUGUAGCAUUCAUGACCCUGUUUCACUUUUUAAUGACUAGGAAAGAAGUUUUUUACUCUAAACUUUCUACUGUUCCAUUCUAAAUAUGUAUUUUUGAGGAACAAGAUGUAUGCUGUUUGGAUACUAAGACUGGAAAUCCUAGCUCUGUUGCAAGGCUAAUGUCUACCUGAGCCUCACUGUGAGCUAGCUGUAUGUAUUUAUUAACUGUUAGCAGAGAAUAACUGAACUCUGACAUGUAACCAUUAGUACGUUAUAAGAAAGUUUAAUUGUUGAAAAGUUGUAAAAAUCUCUUGGGUUAUGGAUCAGAUUCAAUUGUGUGGACUAAACUGACAUUUAUCACAGAAUUGUUAAGGUUGGAAAAGAGCUCUAAGAUCAUGAAGUCCAACUGUCAGCUCAUCACCACCUUUCCCACUAAACCACUAAACCAUAUCCCUCCGUGCCACAUCUACAUUGUUCUUCAGCACCUCCAGAGACAGUUACUCCACCACCUCCUGGGCAGCCUGUUCCAAUGCCCUCACCACAUCUCUGGAGAAGAAAUUGUUCCUAAUACCCCAACCUGAGCCUCCCCCAAUGCAUUUCCACUCAUCCUAUCACUGUUAAAAGAGGUCUCCUAUAGCUUCCUCUUCUCCAGACUAAACAAUCCUAGUUCUCUCAGCCACUCCUCAUAAGACUUGUGCUCCAGACCCCACACAGCUUCGUUACCCUUCUUUGAACACACUCCAGUGCCUCAGUGUCUUUCUUGUAGUGAGGUCCCCAAAACUGAUCACAGCACUCGAGGUGCAGCCCCACCAGUGCCAAGUACAGAGGGACGAUCACUUCCCUGCUCCUGCUGGCUGCUCUACUCCUGAUACAAGCCAAGAUGCUGUUGGCCUUCUUAGUCACUUGGGCACACUGCUGGCUCAUGUUCAGCUGGCUGUCAACUAACAUCCCCAGAUCCUUUUCUACUACGCAGCUUGCCAGCCACUCUGCCCCAAGACUGUAGUGUUGCAGGCAGUUGUUGUGACCAAAGCGUUGGCCUCAGCCAAUUAACUGAUGAAUGUUUUUCAACCUGGCAGGGUAAAAUGAUGAGUGUUAUCUAUAAUUGGUAUUUUAUGAGCACUGGUAUUCAGUGAUAUUCAAAUGAAUGCUGUUUGCAAGUUGAAUGGCAAGAAGACAGAACUGGGAAGAAAAUAAGGAGUGAGGAAGGAAGGUAACAAAGCCUACUAGUGCACUAGGUCAUGCGCUUGUUGGCCUGAUCACAUUUUGUCCAGCACCACCUUGUACACUAUGUUCUCUCACAGAACGACUGAAAGAUAGAGAUUCUUUUACAAAUAAUAAAAUCUCACUACCAAGAUAUCUUCUGCUGUUGGAGUAUACAUUUGCCUCGCUUUUCCUCCUUGAUGAGUAUCAGUAUUCGGACUGUCAUCCGUAUCUUCUGAAGUAACAAAACUUGGGGGGUUGAUCUGUUUUCUUUCUUUGAAUAAUUACCACACACACCAUUUUUCUCUCUUCCCUACAAUAUAGUAGCACUUCAUAUGCUAUCUUCCUGUGAAGCCUUUCCAUUAAGGAUCAAUCAUAAUCUACCCUUCUCCUGUCUGUGGGUUUUCAGUACUCUCAGAGUAGUUAAAGCACAGCCUGCUUUUACUUUUUUGAAGGGUAUUUUAUCAAAAUACUAUUUUUAUUUAUUUGCUUGUUUGUUUGUUUGUUUUUGCUACCCAGAACAAUUGUGAUUCUGUUAGAGUAUCUUCCCCAACUACACCUUAGGACCUUCUUCCAGCCUUCUGAAAACAGCCCGUAAGAGUAACAUUUUUCUGUGUUACUGGGAUGUAAGGGAGUCUGAAUGUAUUUCACCCACGAGCCUGUCCUGAGAAAAGUGCUGCUUUUAUCUUUUGAUAUAUCUUCCUGGUACUCUCUGCAACCUAGUUUUGACAUUUGAACGAUAAUGGUUAUCAGUUUCCUCUGGCAAUACAUAAUUAUUAUGUAUCCUCAAUGGCUUUAUUGUUAUUGCAGCUGUCUUUGUCAAGAGUACCUUGUUAUUCUGUUUACAGAAGUCAGCUGACUUAAAUGGCUGCUUUCUUUUGGAGAAAUCGUAUACAGUAGUUUUGGGUAAUUACUCUUCUCUCCCAGUGGUAUCCAUAUCACUUAAAUGGUUUCACUGGUAAGGUUAUGCUUAUCUGCAGAAACAUUUAAACGUAUCAAAACUGUGCUUGUGAGGCAACCAAGAAGGUUGUGGAAGAGUACACAUAGGAUGAACCCUGCAGUUCCCUCUUAAGCAAAGGCUGCAAUCAAGUGCUGUUUUGCACUCUGUUGAAGCAAGUGGCUUCUUGCACACCUUACAAUUAGACAAGCGUUGGUACACAGAGGAAGUGGCCCACAGCUUGGCACAGAUUUUAUCAGUCUCUCUGGUGAGUUGUCUGCAGCUGAACAGCUUUGUGGUCAUGGUAAGAGCUGUGUAUUUGGCUGACAACCACUGCAAGUUUAUUACUUGUAUGGUAUGACUGCUUGCACUGAGAAUAGAUCUUGUAGUCGAGUUUAUGUCUUAGUCAAGUCAGGGUUAAAUUACAGUGAGAUGAUAAAGAAGUGAGUGUGAAGGCAAUCUCCUUCUGCCUCCUCUCCUGAAAUAAAGCAGGAAGCUGAUAGAAAAUACAGCAGCAUAGCAUUUAUGUAGUGCACACAUUUGGGUAUGAGUGAUCCCAGUACAUUCACUGGCUGCCUCAUGGAUCCA